Molecule: ribosomal RNA, 893 nt
Filed under: Candolleomyces leucotephrus
Lineage: Eukaryota; Fungi; Basidiomycota; Agaricomycetes; Agaricales; Psathyrellaceae
Description: eukaryotic LSU rRNA
Rfam family: Eukaryotic large subunit ribosomal RNA
Source: RNAcentral
CUAACAAGGAUUCCCCUAGUAACUGCGAGUGAAGCGGGAAAAGCUCAAAUUUAAAAUCUGGUGGUCUCUGGCCAUCCGAGUUGUAAUCUAGAGAAGUGUUACCCGCGUCGGACCGUGUAUAAGUCUCCUGGAAUGGAGCGUCAUAGAGGGUGAGAAUCCCGUCUUUGACACGGACUACCGAGGCUUUGUGGUAUGCUCUCAAAGAGUCGAGUUGUUUGGGAAUGCAGCUCAAAAUGGGUGGUAAAUUCCAUCUAAAGCUAAAUAUUGGCGAGAGACCGAUAGCGAACAAGUACCGUGAGGGAAAGAUGAAAAGAACUUUGGAAAGAGAGUUAAACAGUACGUGAAAUUGCUGAAAGGGAAACGCUUGAAGUCAGUCGCGUUGGCCGGGAAUCAGCCUUGCUUUUUGCUUGGUGUACUUUCUGGUUGACGGGCCAGCAUCAGUUUUGACCGGUGGAAAAAGUUCAGGGGAAUGUGGCAUCUUCGGAUGUGUUAUAGCCCUUGUUCGUAUACAUCGGUUGGGACUGAGGAACUCAGCACGCCGCAAGGCCGGGUCUUUGACCACGUUCGUGCUUAGGAUGCUGGCAUAAUGGCUUUAAUCGACCCGUCUUGAAACACGGACCAAGGAGUCUAACAUGCCUGCGAGUGUUUGGGUGGAAAACCCGAGCGCGUAAUGAAAGUGAAAGUUGAGAUCCCUGUCAUGGGGAGCAUCGACGCCCGGACCUGACGUUUUCUGACGGCCCUGCGGUAGAGCAUGUAUGUUGGGACCCGAAAGAUGGUGAACUAUGCCUGAAUAGGGUGAAGCCAGAGGAAACUCUGGUGGAGGCUCGUAGCGAUUCUGACGUGCAAAUCGAUCGUCAAAUUUGGGUAUAGGGGCGAAAGACUAAUCGAACCAU